ACUAGAAACAGGAGCCCAGUGCUUUGUGUCUAUCCCUCCCAAUAUCUAGGGAAAGGCUUUGAUCCAACUGCUGAGAAUGGGAAUGAACGUUGUCUUAUACUGCUUUAGGAAGAACACCAUAAAUGUGGUAUUUUAAAGAAAUGAACUGGCCUUGAUGACCUGAAUACCUGCUGUAGACUAAUAACCUUAGAAUUCUACAUAAUUCAGUUGUGAUAAUAAUAAUAAUUAACAACAACAAAACCUCCCCUUCAGAAGAGGCAUGCAAUGGACUGUGGAUCAAAGCCCCGUAUAAAUUUUGGCAAUGACAAGAGAAAGUGGUUGAUUUUUUACACAUAGAUGUCUAGCUUGUAUAAAAUCUAACAGCUCUCCUAUGUGUUGGAGAGGGUAUCCCACUUUUGGGACAUACAGACCUAAGUGGUGGGAGUGUUCAAAAAUAGAAAAUAGA
Molecule: non-coding RNA, 445 nt
Organism: Podarcis lilfordi (Lilford's wall lizard)
Lineage: Eukaryota; Metazoa; Chordata; Lepidosauria; Squamata; Lacertidae
Source: the annotation of a GenBank genome assembly